This 485-nucleotide long non-coding RNA is filed under the name Cottoperca gobio. Its description in RNAcentral is "lncRNA (ENSCGOG00000009780.1)". Lineage: Eukaryota; Metazoa; Chordata; Actinopteri; Perciformes; Bovichtidae. The record is from RNAcentral.
ACCUGGAUACUGUUUUGAAGGCGUAAAAGAGCCACGUGACACACAAACAAGCAAACCAAAUGUCACAUGACGUUUCCUGAGCUGGGGCGUUGAGAACGGUUGACAGGUGAGAGCAACCAGGAAGUAAACAACCAUGCCGUUUGACCCAGCGCGGUUACAGUCAGGCACAAAACAUUUGCAUUGAACAGUUACAAGUUUCCCCGACUAUUUGGGGCUUGGGAUAAGUCGCAAGGAUGUCAGCACAACAGGCCGGGUUAAGGCGAAUUCACCCGGGGGUUAUUGCAUCGGUGAUCUUCGUCUCUGUGGCGGCAAUAGUCGCUGCUCUAUUGAUCAUCCGAAAAUACUGCUUGCCAGUCAAUGAGGCGAGAUACAGAUACUCCCAGCUGAGGCAAAUGGAGGAUCAGGGUUCAGCAGUGACAGAGGGCGAAGGUGACAUGGAGCCCGGCACAGUGGGAGAGGAGUCAGACGAGGAUCUUCUGGACUAG